GAGUGAUGAAGGCUUCGGGCUGUAAAAUCUGUUAGUNNGGAGAAGGGUUUAGGCUAAUAUCCUUAAGCAUUGACGGUACCACUAGAGUAAGCACCGGCUAACUCCGUGCCAGCAGCCGCGGUAAUACGGAGGGUGCAAGCGUUGAUCGGAAUUACUGGGCGUAAAGCGAGAGCAGGUGGUUUAAUAAGUCAGAUGUGAAAUCUCUAGGCUUAACCUAGAAACUGCAUCUGAUACUAUUAAACUAGAGUGUAAGAGAGGGUGAUGGAAUUCCCAGUGUAGGGGUAAAAUCCGUAGAUAUUGGGAGGAACACCGGAGGCGAAGGCGAUCACCUGGCUUACAACUGACACUCAUCCUCGAGAGCAUGGGUAGCAAACAGGAUUAGAUACCCUGGUAGUCUAUGCUGUAAACGAUGGACACUAGAUGUUGUGGGAUUUGAUCCCUGCAGUAUCGUAGUUAACGCGUUAAGUGUCCCGCCUGGGGAAUACGGUCGCAAGAUUAAAACUCAAAGAAAUUGACGGGGGCCCGCACAAGCGGUGGAGCAUGUGGUUCAAUUCGAGGCAACGCGAAAAACCUUACCUGGGCUUGACAUCCUGCUUUAAAUCAUAGAGAUAUGGUCUAGUCUUCGGACAAGGCAGGACAGGUGCUGCAUGGCUGUCGUCAGCUCGUGUCGUGAGAUGUUGGGUUAAGUCCUGCAACGAGCGCAACCCUUAUCAUUAGUUGCCAUCAUUAAGUUGGGUACUCUAAUGAGACUGCCGGUGUUAAACCGGAGGAAGGUGGGGAUGACGUCAAGUCAUCACGGCCCUUAUGUCCAGGGCUACACACGUGCUACGAUGGUCGGUACAAAGAGCUGCAAACCCGCAAGGGGGAGCUAAUCUCAAAAAGCCGAUCUCAGUUCGGAUCGGAGUCUGCAAUUUGACUUCGUGAAGCUGGAAUCGCUAG
Molecule: ribosomal RNA, 939 nt
Filed under: uncultured organism
Description: bacterial SSU rRNA
Rfam family: Bacterial small subunit ribosomal RNA
Source: RNAcentral